AAAGAACCUUCCGUCGGGUGAACUUGCGGAAGGGUCCUUU
This 40-nucleotide ribosomal RNA is filed under the name Pilobolus kleinii. Its description in RNAcentral is "partial 18S ribosomal RNA". Lineage: Eukaryota; Fungi; Mucoromycota; Mucoromycetes; Mucorales; Pilobolaceae. The record is from RNAcentral.